RNAcentral lists this ribosomal RNA (484 nucleotides) under uncultured bacterium. RNAcentral's name for it is "partial 16S ribosomal RNA". It matches the Rfam family "Bacterial small subunit ribosomal RNA", at positions 30 to 507 of the family's 1533-position model. The record is from RNAcentral.
AUUGAACGCUGGCGGCAGGCCUAACACAUGCAAGUCGAGCGGCAGAACGGUGCUUGCUUCUGCUUACAGCGGCGGACGGGCGAGCAAUGCCGAGGAACCUGCCUGGCUGCGGGUGAUAACGUCCGGAAGCGGGCGCUCAUACCGCAUUCGCCCAGAGGGAGUAAGUGGGGGAUCAUCGGACCUCCCGCCCUCAGACGAGUCUAUGUCGGAUUAGCUAGUUGGUGGGGUAAAGGCCUACCAAGGCGACGAUCCGUAGCUGGUCUGAGAGGAUGAUCAGUCACACUGGAACUGAGACACGGUCCAGACUCCUACGGGAGGCAGCAGUGGGGAAUAUUGGACAAUGGGCGCAAGCCUGAUCCAGCCAUGCCGCGUGUGUGAAGAAGGUCUUCGGAUUGUAAAGCACUUUUAGUUGGGAAGAAGAGCAGUAAGUUAAUACCUCGCUGUUUUGACGUUACCAAAAGAAUAAGCACCGGCUAACUUCGUG